Molecule: ribosomal RNA, 253 nt
Filed under: uncultured bacterium
Lineage: Bacteria
Also listed under: 1 other name
Description: partial 16S ribosomal RNA
Rfam family: Bacterial small subunit ribosomal RNA
Source: RNAcentral
UACGUAGGGGGCAAGCGUUGUCCGGAAUCAUUGGGCGUAAAGCGCGCGUAGGCGGCCCGGUAAGUCCGCUGUAAAAGUCAAAGGCUCAACCUUUGAAUGCCGGUGGAUACUGUCGGGCUAGAGUCCGGAAGAGGCGAGUGGAAUUCCUGGUGUAGCGGUGGAAUGCGCAGAUAUCAGGAGGAACACCAAUAGCGAAGGCAGCUCGCUGGGACGGUACUGACGCUAAGGCGCGAAAGCGUGGGGAGCGAACAGG